Molecule: non-coding RNA, 592 nt
Organism: Ictidomys tridecemlineatus (thirteen-lined ground squirrel)
Lineage: Eukaryota; Metazoa; Chordata; Mammalia; Rodentia; Sciuridae
Source: RefSeq, a predicted model, not a curated record
CACAGAUAUGAGAAACUACAUGCCACAACAUGGAUAAUCUCACAAGUGUGAAGAGAAUGAAGAGAAACCAGUGAAAGGCAAGAGACAAAGUGUGGAUAAGGUUAGUCUUCCAUCUCCUCUAAAAGAAGUGGAGAAGCAGCUCCAGGCUUCCUUCCAUGGACAGGCAGGUUUACAUGAUGGUGGUAUCAUUCCCACUUCAAAUGAACAUGAAUCAAGUAACAACUGGGGAUGAAAGAGGCCAUAGAUGAAGAAUAAAGGAUGAGGAGAGCAGCUGCUGUGAAAAAAACCUGUGUAAUUUUCAGGCUUGGCUGAAAGCAAUUACAAGAGCUGUACCUGGCAGGCCCCGCGGGGAAAACCUGCCUCCCAUCACAGUCUGGAAGGACUCUCGCAUCAAUGGCUACUCCGACACCUGACAUCUAAUGACUCCCAGCUCUGCUGAGAUGCUGACCAAAGGAAGCCCACCAGAAGCGAAGAGGAAUCCGGAAACUGUGGAUCCACUAAAAAAAAAAUCUGACUCCUCACAGAUGCGAAUACAAUAUCUGGAUCCACAUUAUUCUUCUCCCAUCAAUAAAUAUAACGUUGACCAACAUUA